GGGUAUGUUGCUUUAAUAGUCUUAACUUUGCAAAAGUUAAUGUGAGAUCUUUUUAAUCUCCAUGCCUU
This 68-nucleotide transfer RNA is filed under the name Rhinebothroides sp. MZUSP 8013. RNAcentral describes it as "tRNA-Cys". RNAcentral also lists the same sequence under 2 other names. The record is from RNAcentral. Lineage: Eukaryota; Metazoa; Platyhelminthes; Cestoda; Rhinebothriidea; Rhinebothriidae.